RNAcentral lists this unclassified non-coding RNA (337 nucleotides) under soil metagenome. Its description in RNAcentral is "partial contains 5.8S ribosomal RNA, internal transcribed spacer 2, and large subunit ribosomal RNA". The stretch from base 1 to 120 matches the Rfam family "5.8S ribosomal RNA", at positions 35 to 154 of the family's 154-position model. The record is from RNAcentral.
GAUGAAGAACGUAGCGAAAUGCGAUAAGUAAUGUGAAUUGCAGAAUUCAGUGAAUCAUCGAAUCUUUGAACGCACAUUGCGCCCGCUAGUAUUCUGGCGGGCAUGCCUGUUCGAGCGUCAUUUCAACCAUCAAGCCCCCGGGCUUGUGUUGGGGACCUGCGGCUGCCGCAGGCCCUGAAAAGCAGUGGCGGGCUCGCUGUCACACCGAGCGUAGUAGAUUUUAUCUCGCUCUGGGCGUGCUGCGGGUUCCGGCCGUUAAACCACCCUUUUAACCCAAGGUUGACCUCGGAUCAGGUAGGAAGACCCGCUGAACUUAAGCAUAUCAAUAAGCGGAGGA